Molecule: ribosomal RNA, 422 nt
Filed under: uncultured prokaryote
Description: bacterial SSU rRNA
Rfam family: Bacterial small subunit ribosomal RNA
Source: RNAcentral
UGAGGAAUAUUGGUCAAUGGGCGAGAGCCUGAACCAGCCAUGUCGCGUGAAGGAAGAAUGUCCUAUGGAUUGUAAACUUCUUUUAUACAGGAAUAAAGUGUACUACGUGUAGUAUUUUGUAUGUACUGUAUGAAUAAGGAUCGGCUAACUCCGUGCCAGCAGCCGCGGUAAUACGGAGGAUCCGAGCGUUAUCCGGAUUUAUUGGGUUUAAAGGGUGCGUAGGCGGAAUAGCAAGUCAGUGGUGAAAGUUUGCAGCUUAACUGUAAAAUUGCCAUUGAAACUGCUGUUCUUGAGUACAGUAGAGGUAGGCGGAAUGUGUAGUGUAGCGGUGAAAUGCAUAGAUAUUACACAGAACACCGAUUGCGUAGGCAGCUUACUGGAGUGUAACUGACGCUGAGGCACGAUAGCGUGGGGAUCAAACA